This 513-nucleotide ribosomal RNA is filed under the name uncultured bacterium. RNAcentral describes it as "bacterial SSU rRNA". It matches the Rfam family "Bacterial small subunit ribosomal RNA", at positions 28 to 531 of the family's 1533-position model. The record is from RNAcentral.
GAUGAACGCUAGCGAUAGGCCUAACACAUGCAAGUCGAGGGGCAUCACAUGAAGUAGCAAUACGGAUGGUGGCGACCGGCGCACGGGUGAGUAACACGUAUGCAACCUGCCUUCAACAAGGGGAUAACCCGUUGAAAGACGGACUAAUACCCUAUAACACAGGGGUCCCGCAUGGGAAUAUUUGUUAAAGGACAACCGGUUGAAGAUGGGCAUGCGUUCCAUUAGCUAGUUGGCGGGGUAAGGCCCACCAAGGCAACGAUGGAUAGGGGAACUGAGAGGUUUAUCCCCCACACUGGUACUGAGACACGGACCAGACUCCUACGGGAGGCAGCAGUGAGGAAUAUUGGUCAAUGGACGCAAGUCUGAACCAGCCACGUCGCGUGAAGGAAGACGGCCCUACGGGUUGUAAACUUCUUUUGCAAGGGAAUAAAGUGGCCACGUGUGGCCUUUUGCAAGUACCUUGCGAAUAAGGAUCGGCUAACUCCGUGCCAGCAGCCGCGGUAAUUACUGACU